AACGCAUAUUGCGCUCCCUGGUAUUCCGGGGAGCAUGCCUGUUUCAGCAUCAUUUGAACAUCUCAAAAUCAUUUUUAGUGUGAUUUUGGAAGCUGGGCUUUUUUGUUGUGUGUUUACACAUAACUGGCCUGAAAUUGGUGACAUUAAUGCAAGAAUCGUGUGGAUGCCUUUGUUGCAUUAGACGAAAAGCUAAUUAGUUGACUGUGGUCAAACUUGCUGAAUAGUCUUUUUAAUAACAAGGCAAUCUCCCACAUUCACAAAUUGAUCUGAAAUCAGGUAGGAUUACCCGCUGAACUUAA
Molecule: unclassified non-coding RNA, 299 nt
Filed under: uncultured fungus
Lineage: Eukaryota; Fungi
Description: partial contains 5.8S ribosomal RNA, internal transcribed spacer 2, and large subunit ribosomal RNA
Source: RNAcentral